RNAcentral lists this ribosomal RNA (370 nucleotides) under uncultured Desulfobulbus sp. RNAcentral describes it as "bacterial SSU rRNA". It matches the Rfam family "Bacterial small subunit ribosomal RNA", at positions 1014 to 1382 of the family's 1533-position model. The record is from RNAcentral. Lineage: Bacteria; Pseudomonadati; Thermodesulfobacteriota; Desulfobulbia; Desulfobulbales; Desulfobulbaceae.
UUCCAUCUGGAAGAAUCUGGAGACAGGUGCUGCAUGGCUGUCGUCAGCUCGUGUCGUGAGAUGUUGGGUUAAGUCCCGCAACGAGCGCAACCCUUGCCUUUAGUUGCCAGCAGUUCGGCUGGGCACUCUAAAGGGACUGCCGGUGUUAAACCGGAGGAAGUGGGGAUGACGUCAAGUCCUCAUGGCCUUUAUGACCAGGGCUACACACGUACUACAAUGGCCGAUACAAAGGGCAGCGACACUGCGAGGUGGAAGCCAAUCCCGUAAAAUCGGUCUCAGUCCGGAUUGGAGUCUGCAACUCGACUCCAUGAAGUUGGAAUCGCUAGUAAUCGUGGAUCAGCAUGCCACGGUGAAUACGUUCCCGGGCCUU